GUGCUCACUUCAGCAGCACAUAUACUAAAACUGGAAUGAUACAGAGAAGAUUAGCAUGGCCCCAAGCAAGGAUCACAUGCAAAUUCAUGAAGCAUUCCAUAUUUUU
Molecule: small nuclear RNA, 106 nt
Organism: Sciurus carolinensis (gray squirrel)
Lineage: Eukaryota; Metazoa; Chordata; Mammalia; Rodentia; Sciuridae
Source: RefSeq, a predicted model, not a curated record